Molecule: microRNA precursor, 187 nt
Filed under: Nelumbo nucifera (sacred lotus)
Lineage: Eukaryota; Viridiplantae; Streptophyta; Magnoliopsida; Proteales; Nelumbonaceae
Description: MIR159 microRNA precursor family
Rfam family: MIR159 microRNA precursor family
Source: Rfam by way of RNAcentral
UCUUGGAGGAAGGAGCUCUCUUCAGUCCAGUCCGAGAUGGAUUUUAGCUGAUCUCUGCUGCUGACUCGCUGGUUCAUGAACCCAUCAAGCUACGGGAUGAGAUGUGUUUUUGAUCCAUCGAUGCAGGAGCUGGGCUUGGCUGAGACUGUCUCGUCUUGGACUGAAGGGAGCUCCCUUCUAUUCUACG